ACGGAAGGCAGCAGUGAGGAAUAUUGCGCAAUGGAGGGAACUCUGACGCAGCGACGCCGCGUGAAGGAAGAAGGUCUUCGGAUUGUAAACUUCUGUCUUCAGGGAAGAAACAAAUGACGGUACCUGGGGAGGAAGCCCCGGCUAACUACGUGCCAGCAGCCGCGGUAAUACGUAGGGGGCGAGCGUUGUCCGGAAUUAUUGGGUGUAAAGGGCGCGUAGGCGGCUAAGUAAGUCAAACGUGAAAACUACAGGCUCAACUUGUAGCUUGCGUUUGAAACUGCAUAGCUUGAGUGAAGUAGAGGUAAGUGGAAUUUCCAGUGUAGCGGUGAAAUGCGUAGAUAUUGGAAGGAACACCAGUGGCGAAGGCGACUUACUGGACUUUUACUGACGCUGAGGCGCGAAAGCGUGGGUAGCAAACAGGAUUAGAUACCCUGGUA
Molecule: ribosomal RNA, 437 nt
Filed under: uncultured Oscillospiraceae bacterium
Lineage: Bacteria; Bacillati; Bacillota; Clostridia; Eubacteriales; Oscillospiraceae
Description: partial 16S ribosomal RNA
Rfam family: Bacterial small subunit ribosomal RNA
Source: RNAcentral